This is an RNA transcript of Entelurus aequoreus (snake pipefish), 1978 nucleotides long. It is a transcript of the gene named dehydrodolichyl diphosphate synthase complex subunit nus1-like, with no coding region annotated. Lineage: Eukaryota; Metazoa; Chordata; Actinopteri; Syngnathiformes; Syngnathidae. The record is from RefSeq and is a predicted model, not a curated record. The transcript has 6 exons.
CAGGUCAUGGGUUGCCAGGGAGAGAGCAAGAUGGCGGCAGGGGGAUGACAUGGACACGGAUGAGUCAGACACGUAAUACUCUCACAUAAGUGACAUGUGCAGCAGGUCCGAGUAACUUUAGAUGAAAUAAGGACAACGAUGGCGUUGUUGUACAGCGUCUUAUGGCGGCUGCUGCUGUUCGUGCUUCACAGCAACAGAGCGCUGCUCUCCUGGCUGCGUGUGGCGCUUCGGAGCUGCAAUGGCCGGCUGUGGGAGCGGGCUGUGGCCGCGCUGCUCCUGCCCAUGUCCCUAGUGGGCUUCCACGACCGGCGGAGGAAAUGUAAUCACAACCCCGACGUGAAUGGCACUCUGGUAGCCGGAAACUGUGCUCGCAGCCGACGACACCGGUGGCUGACCGACGGCAGAGCUUUGGACAAGUUGCCGGUGCACGUCGGCCUCUUGGUAGCCGAAGAAGAGCACAGCUACACGGACAUUGGCAACAUGGUGGUGUGGUGCAUGGCGAUUGGAAUAUCCUAUGUCAGCAUCUAUGACAAUCAUGGGAUUUUCCGGAAGGACAACUCGAGGCUGCUGGAGGUGAUACUGAGACAACAGAAGGAUCUGCUAGGUGUGGAAGGAUCCAAAUACAAUGUGGAAUUCCUCAGUGAUUGUGCUGAUGAACACCAAAAUCACGUGUUGUCAUGCAAGCCCACAGUGAAGGUCUUGUCUCCAGAAGAUGGCAAGCAGAGUAUCGUUCACGCAGCACAGCAACUGUGUCGCUCCGUGGAGAACAAAGAGAGAAGCUUCAAAGAUAUUAGUGUCUCCAUGCUGGACACACUGCUAAGAGAGGCAAAUAAUAUUCCAGAUCCUGAGCUGGUGGUCAAGUUUGGUCCAGUAGAUAGUACUCUGGGUUUCCUCCCCUGGCACAUCAGACUCACUGAAUUCAUCUCGCUGCCGUCACACAGAAACAUCUCAUAUGAGGACUUACUGUGCACCUUGCAGCGCUUUGGCCAAUGUCAGCAGAGGCUGGGCCAGUGAUGUGUCCUCACUAAAGACCAGUUGACACUCAGGACGUCAGUGACGUCCCACACUGGAAGCGCCUCCAAGACAGUGAACAAGACUGGAGUCGAAGCCAGAUGGCUCACUUCCUGUCACCAGCUCAUGUACUACGAUGGAGGGACGUGCCGAGAGGAAAGAGGCCUCACUGACACGACGAUGAGAGGACCGUCUGUCCUCUACCACCAUCUCUACAACUGUUGCCAUUCAACUUCCAGCUGCUGUUUUGUCACUUGAUGCAGCACGCGGAGAAGAAAGCUGGCUUUGUGUCCCUGCUCAAAUGCAAAAUUCCAACGACGACAUUGAAAAGAUGACAGGAAGUGGACCCGAGGGUCAGAAUGAUUCAGGGCCGGAGACCAUGAGACGGGGGGGAAUAGUGGGAGCAGGAGAGAGACCAAGAGGCUGAAAAGCAAAGAGCGGGUCAGAAGGGACCGGACGGCUGAAAAGCAAAGGAAGAAACGUUGAAGAUGACAAGAACAAAAAUAAAUAAAAAACUCUCCUGUUGAAACCCACGUUCCGAGGUGUUGUGGUCACAUUGGUCCGUCUAACCCUGAAAGGGACGUAACAGACUUCCACAAUGGGUUAUUCCAGGGGUCUCCAAUAGGUAGUUGGUCUACAGAAUAUGGGCUAGUUUCAGGGAAAGUUUGGAAUCUGUGGAAAGAGAUUAAUUUGAAUUGCAACAAGGGUUUUCUAAAUCCCUGGUACUGCUUCAAUGACUGUGGUGUUCCUGUGCUUGACUGUCCUGCAAUCUCUCCGUAAUCCUAUAGAGAAUCUAUGCGGUAUGGUCAAGAGGAUAAUGAGAAGCACCACACCGUGCAAUGCUUAUGAUUUGGAGGCUGCAAGGAGCUUCCAUUACAUCUGAGCAGUAGAUACUGACACACCAUAUUGAUACAAUAAUACAAGCAACCAAGUAUUAAACGCAAAUUAAUGACCAUACUUUAUCACA